This 253-nucleotide ribosomal RNA is filed under the name uncultured bacterium. Its description in RNAcentral is "partial 16S ribosomal RNA". It matches the Rfam family "Bacterial small subunit ribosomal RNA", at positions 524 to 776 of the family's 1533-position model. The record is from RNAcentral.
UACGGAGGGUGCAAGCGUUAAUCGGAAUUACUGGGCGUAAAGCGCACGCAGGCGGUCUGUCAAGUCGGGUGUGAAAUCCCCGGGCUCAACCCGGGAAUUGCAUUUGAUACUGGCAGUCUAGAGUACUGUAGAGGGGGGUAGAAUUCCAGGUGUAGCGGUGAAAUGCGUAGAGAUGUGGAGGAAUACCGAUGGCGAAGGCAGCCCCCUGGGCAUGGACUGACGCUCAGGUGCGAAAGCGUGGGGAGCAAACAGG